Molecule: ribosomal RNA, 509 nt
Filed under: uncultured Glomus
Lineage: Eukaryota; Fungi; Glomeromycota; Glomeromycetes; Glomerales; Glomeraceae
Description: SSU rRNA
Rfam family: Eukaryotic small subunit ribosomal RNA
Source: RNAcentral
AGCAGCCGCGGUAAUUCCAGCUCCAAUAGCGUAUAUUAAAGUUGUUGCAGUUAAAAAGCUCGUAGUUGAAUUUCGGGAUUAGUACGUUGGUCGUGCCUUCGGUACGUACUGGUGUUACUGAUUCCUACCUUCUGACGAACCAUCAUGUCAUUAAUUUGGUGUGGUGGGGAAUCAGGACUGUUACUUUGAAAAAUUAGAGUGUUUAAAGCAGGCUCGCGCUUGAAUACAUUAGCAUGGAAUAAUGAAAUAGGACGUUGACCCUAUUUUGUUGGUUUCUAGGAUUGACGUAAUGAUUAAUAGGGAUAGUUGGGGGCAUUAGUAUUCAAUUGUCAGAGGUGAAAUUCUUGGAUUUAUUGAAGACUAACUACUGCGAAAGCAUUUGCCAAGGAUGUUUUCAUUAAUCAAGAACGAAAGUUAGGGGAUCGAAGACGAUCAGAUACCGUCGUAGUCUUAACCAUAAACUAUGCCGACUAGGGAUCGGAUGAUGUUAUUUUUAAUGACUCAUUCGG